AGAGUUUGAUCCUGGCUCAGAAUGAACGCUGGCGGCGUGCCUAACACAUGCAAGUCGAACGAGAAAGUCCCUUCGGGGAUGAGUAUAGUGGCGCACGGGUGAGUAACGCGUGGGUAAUCUACCUUUGGAUUUGGGAUAACUUCGCGAAAGCGUAGCUAAUACCGGAUAGUCUGGCUUUAAUUAAUAAGUUGGUAAAGGGUGCCUCUAUUUAUACGCAUUCGUCCAAAGAUGAGCCCGCGUCUCAUUAGCUAGUUGGUGGGGUAAAGGCCUACCAAGGCAACGAUGAGUAACUGGUCUGAGAGGAUGAUCAGUCACACUGGAACUGAAACGCGGUCCAGACUCCUACGGGAGGCAGCAGUGGGGAAUAUUGCGCAAUGGGCGAAAGCCUGACGCAGCAACGCCGUGUGAGGGAUGAAGGUUCUCGGAUCGUAAACCUCUGUCAGAAGGGAAGAACGGUUAUAGGUCUAACAGGCCCGUAAAUUGACGGUACCUUCAAAGGAAGCACCGGCUAACUCCGUGCCAGCAGCCGCGGUAAUACGGAGGAUCCUAGUGUUAUCCGGAUUUAUUGGGUUUAAAGGGAGCGUAGGCGGGAGGUCAAGUCAGCUGUGAAAUGUAUCUGCUUAACGGGUACACUGCAGUUGAAACUGGUUUUCUUGAGUGCGUAAGAGGCAGGCGGAAUUCGUUGUGUAGCGGUGAAAUGCUUAGAUAUGACGAGGAACUCCUAUUGCGAAGGCAGCUUGCUGGGUCGUUACUGACGCUGAUGCUCGAAGGUGCGGGGAUCAAACAGGAUUAGAUACCCUGGUAGUCCGCACAGUAAACUAUGGAUACUCUCUGCCGGCGAUACAUUGUCGGUGGCCAAGCGAAAGCGUUAAGUAUCCCACCUGGGGAGUACGUUCGCAAGAAUGAAACUCAAAGGAAUUGACGGGGGCCCGCACAAGCGGAGGAACAUGUGGUUUAAUUCGAUGAUACGCGAGGAACCUUACCCGGGUUUGAAUUGCUGAUGGCGGUAUUUGGAGACAGAUACUUCCCUUCGGGGCGUCAGUGAAGGUGCUGCAUGGUUGUCGUCAGCUCGUGCCGUGAGGUGUCGGCUUAAGUGCCAUAACGAGCGCAACCCCCGCCGUUAGUUGCCAUCGGGUCAUGCCGGGCACUCUAUUGGGACUGCCAUCGUAAGAUGUGAGGAAGGUGGGGAGGACGUCAAAUCAGCACGGCCCUUAUGUCCGGGGCGACACACGUGUUACAAUGGGGGGUACAGUGGGAAGCUACCUGGCGACAGGUUGCGGAUCCCCAAAUCCUUUCUCAGUUCGGAUCGGAGUCUGUAACUCGACUCCGUGAAGUUGGAUUCGCUAGUAAUCGCGCAUCAGCCAUGGCGCGGUGAAAAAAAUCCCGGGC
Molecule: ribosomal RNA, 1389 nt
Filed under: uncultured bacterium
Lineage: Bacteria
Description: bacterial SSU rRNA
Rfam family: Bacterial small subunit ribosomal RNA
Source: RNAcentral